GGAGGGGUGCCAGAGUGGUCGAUUGGGGCGGUCUUGAAAACCGCUGAGGCCGCAAGGCCUCCGGGGGUUCGAAUCCCUCCCCCUCCG
Molecule: transfer RNA, 87 nt
Filed under: Planctomycetota bacterium
Lineage: Bacteria; Pseudomonadati; Planctomycetota
Also listed under: 1 other name
Description: tRNA-Ser
Rfam family: tRNA
About the family: Transfer RNA (tRNA) molecules are approximately 80 nucleotides in length. Their secondary structure includes four short double-helical elements and three loops (D, anti-codon, and T loops).
Source: RNAcentral